This 2494-nucleotide long non-coding RNA is filed under the name Daucus carota (carrot). Its description in RNAcentral is "long non-coding RNA (DCAR_LNC001670)". The record is from RNAcentral. Lineage: Eukaryota; Viridiplantae; Streptophyta; Magnoliopsida; Apiales; Apiaceae.
UAAUAAAUUAUAAAGUACUAGUAAAUAUACUUAACUUUGUUUACCAUAAUCCAAACUCCUCCCAUUUCAUGUUAUACAAAAUUAGUAAAAAAAUCUGUGAACUUGUCAUCUAAACAAUAACAUACAUCCCAAACACACAAUCAAUGGUUCCUAUGCUAUGAUUUUAACUCCCAAUUCAGCUUCUGCAAACUCCACAAGGUUCUGCAUUUCGCUCUCAUCAAUAAAUCCAUCGUUGUUCCUGUCCGCCGAUCUUAUCCCUCGCUGCACUUUCCACCUGCAGAACCAACCUCCGUUGGCUCGAACACCUUCUUGCAGCUCAGCUCUGCUUAUCCGACCAUCCCGGUCUCCGUAAAAUCGCUUCAACCAUCGUUUGAACUCGUCGAUGGUCAUCUCACGCUUGCCAUCUCGGGUUUGAAUUGAUUGAACACAUUUGAAUGCCAUUCUAGCUGCACUAAUAGAGCUGAUGUCCCGAGUUCGUUACAACAAAUAAGCCUUUUUACGACGGAUAUAUAUAUCGAGUUUACUGAUGAUGAAAUUCGUGGAGUUGUCUAUCGAAUUUAUAUAUUGAUACGAGUAAGUGGAGUACUCGUUUAUGAAUCUUAUAAUACUAUAGAUAAUUAUGUGCAUGGUUAAUGUGUUUGUUGCUUAAAUAUUUGUAUAUAGUUAAUUAAACUAUAAUCACCAGAAUAAAGUGGGCAUAUAAGUGGAUGAUAGCAGUGCGCGUUCAACUUUAAUUUUUUUCCCCCGAACUGCGCGUUCAAUUUUCAGUGGUGCUGGGAUUUGAUUCUAAUUUGAAAAGAAUAUGUCACAAGCUCACAGGGAGAUUGACAUGUACUCCUCUCUGUUUUCGAUUUUCUGUCAUAUAUUUUUAAAUAUUUGAAUUAAGAAAUAUUAAUUUUGAUUUAACUUUUUGUAAAUGAUUAUAUAUAUUGUAUAUUUUUAUUAGUCAAAUUAUUUAGACAUGUGUGCCAAAAAUCGAACAAUUUAAGUGGGAAUACAUGUAUAUAUUCGAUAUACUUACCGUAAACGUAUUCGGUGGAAAAUAUUAAGUACGCCAUUUAAAGUUUGUUUGACAUUAAAUUAAAAAAAUGUUCAUGUGACAAACCAUUUGUAAUUAAGAUCGUGUAAUUUAAAGUUAAGAUUUGCUUAGGUGUAUUUUUGUAAAUAACUUAGUUUAUUUUUAUGAUAUUUUUAUAAAAAUAAUUUUAUCAUUUAAAGACUAAAUUAUCUUUUAAUUAUGCGUUUAUACAUUAUUAAAUCAUAUAUCAUCCCUGCUUACGAAUCAUGAGUUUAAGCUUUACAAGAACGGUAUCUGAUUCUGAUCUACUCUGCUGGAUACGUACGUUGUUAAUUUAUUGUAUUGCUGCUUAGAUUACUAACCAAUUGUCGGCCUUGAUUUAUUAGAGACCCGUCCGAUUCGAUUGUUCUAGAUUUAAUAAUGUACUAUAAGCACAGACCUCUCAUAAUUCCUUUGUUUUUUAUCAAGCUUAGAUUUCAUUUUGCUUUGUUUGAUAAAGCAAAUUAUUCUUUUGAGUAUAAGAAAAAAGGGAGUAAUCCGGUCCGAUUUUAGUAUUGUUCCUAUAUGAAUACUUAAUAUUCUAUGAUUCAUUAUACAACACAAGUCUCUUGAUUUUAUCCACAUAUUUUUAAUAAAUUUGAGUUUAUAGUUUAAAAUUUUAUUUUUAACUUAUUCUGGAUAAAAGUUAUAUAAAUAUGAACGGUUUUAAAAAGGUUUUUUACUCAUCAGAACUCAAUAUUGAUAAAAGGAAGUCUGUAUUAUCGAAAUUUGAUGUAAUUGCAAAGAGAAUUGAGUUCAACUCUUUAAUUAUUAUUAAAAAAAUCGAGGUUCAUUAGAUUUAAAUUUAAUUAUAAAGAGACUCAAGUUUAACUCUCCACCAUGAACCCUAAGACUAGGGAAACUGCAUGCUGAUCUUUUUCGAAUAAUAUAUAAGAAAUAAUUCUCGUACAGGAAUGCCUCAAGGAAAUGACAACAGCCAUGAAUCUAUGUUAUCAAAUAUUAAUUUCACAAAUACAAUCAACAAUAAACAUUCAAAACACCAGAAUCACUGAAUAAUAUUAUGCUCUAAUUUUUAAACCGAAUUCAGCUUGUGCAAACUCCACAAGGUUUUUCAUUUCAGUCUCAUCGAUAAAUCCAUCAUUGUUGCCGUCUGCCAAUCCUAUCCCCCGGUGCACCUUCCACCUAGAGAACCGGCCUCCGUUGGCUCGAACAGCUUCCCGGAGCUCAGCUUUGCUUAUCCGGCCAUCUCUAUCGCCGUCGAAUCUCUUCAACCAUCGUUUGAACUCCUCGAUUGUCAUCUCGCGUUUGCCAUCUCUGCCUUGAAUUGAUCGAACACAUUUGAAUGCCAUAGUGUUUGUACUUGAUAGAGCUGAUUUAGUUUCUAUUGUGAAGUUUAUUAUACUACAGAAUGGAUGAAAUUUAUAGACCUCUUUGUCUACUUUAUAUAGUACAAUCAAGGAGCUAGUGGAGCACUCC